GACGAACGCUGGCGGCGUGCCUAACACAUGCAAGUCAACUUGACUGAAGGAGCAAUCUGACAGUAGAGUGGCGCAAGGGUGCGUAACGCGUAAGUAACUUGCCCAAGGUAAGGAAUAACGUCGAGAAAUCGGCGCUAAUACCUCAUAAUGCAGCGGAUCCGCAUGGAUAUGUUGUUAAAGGUUUACCGCCUUGGGAUAGGCUUGCGUCUGAUUAGCUAGUUGGUGUGGUAACGGCACACCAAGGCUACGAUCAGUAACUGGUCUGAGAGGAUGAUCAGUCACACUGGAACUGAGACACGGUCCAGACUCCUACGGGAGGCAGCAGUGAGGAAUAUUGGGCGAAUAGCUCGAAAG
This 354-nucleotide ribosomal RNA is filed under the name uncultured bacterium. RNAcentral describes it as "bacterial SSU rRNA". It matches the Rfam family "Bacterial small subunit ribosomal RNA", at positions 28 to 382 of the family's 1533-position model. The record is from RNAcentral.